RNAcentral lists this ribosomal RNA (225 nucleotides) under Phycis phycis. RNAcentral's name for it is "partial 16S ribosomal RNA". Lineage: Eukaryota; Metazoa; Chordata; Actinopteri; Gadiformes; Phycidae. The record is from RNAcentral.
UGUGGAGCUUCAGACCUAAAAUAAUUUAUGUUUAAUACACUGGGAAUAUCAGCUAAAACUUAAUAAUAAUUAUUGGAGUGUCUUUGGUUGGGGCGACCGCGGGGUAAAACAAAACCCCCACGUGGAAUGGGAGAAUCACUCCUAGUACCUAGAGCCGCUACUCCAAGUAACAGAAAUUCUGACUUUAUGAUCCGGUAUUACCGAUCAACGGACCGAGUUACCCCA